UUACAAAGCACACCUCCUUUA
RNAcentral lists this microRNA (21 nucleotides) under Heligmosomoides polygyrus. RNAcentral's name for it is "hpo-miR-10060-3p". The record is from miRBase by way of RNAcentral. Lineage: Eukaryota; Metazoa; Nematoda; Chromadorea; Rhabditida; Heligmosomidae.